RNAcentral lists this ribosomal RNA (492 nucleotides) under uncultured bacterium. RNAcentral's name for it is "partial 16S ribosomal RNA". It matches the Rfam family "Bacterial small subunit ribosomal RNA", at positions 29 to 507 of the family's 1533-position model. The record is from RNAcentral.
AGUGAACGCUGGCGGUAGGCCUAACACAUGCAAGUCGAACGGCAGCACAGUAAGAGCUUGCUCUUACGGGUGGCGAGUGGCGGACGGGUGAGGAAUACAUCGGAAUCUACUUUUUCGUGGGUGAUAACGUAGGGAAACUUACGCUAAUACCGCAUACGACCUACGGGUGAAAGCAGGGGAUCUUCGGACCUUGCGCGAUUGAAUGAGCCGAUGUCGGAUUAGCUAGUUGGCGGGGUAAAGGCCCACCAAGGCGACGAUCCGUAGCUGGUCUGAGAGGAUGAUCAGCCACACUGGAACUGAGACACGGUCCAGACUCCUACGGGAGGCAGCAGUGGGGAAUAUUGGACAAUGGGCGAAAGCCUGAUCCAGCCAUACCGCGUGGGUGAAGAAGGCCUUCGGGUUGUAAAGCCCUUUUGUUGGGAAAGAAAAGCAGCAGGUUAAUACCCCGAUGUUCUGACGGUACCCAAAGAAUAAGCACCGGCUAACUUCGUG